This 252-nucleotide ribosomal RNA is filed under the name uncultured bacterium. RNAcentral describes it as "partial 16S ribosomal RNA". It matches the Rfam family "Bacterial small subunit ribosomal RNA", at positions 524 to 776 of the family's 1533-position model. The record is from RNAcentral.
UACGGAGGGUGCAAACGUUGUCCGGAAUCACUGGCGUAAAGCGCAUGUAGGUGGCUUGAUCAGUGGACGAUUAAAUACCGAUGCUUAACAUCGGAACUGUUGUCCAUACUGUCUGGCUUGAGAAUGACAGGGGUAAGCGGAACUUUAGGUGUAGGAGUGAAAUCCGUAGAUAUCUAAAGGAACACCAAUGGCGAAAGCGGCUCACUGGGUCUCUUCUGACGCUGAGGCACGAAAGCUAGGGUAGCGAACGGG